This 149-nucleotide ribosomal RNA is filed under the name Blautia sp. AM29-29. RNAcentral describes it as "partial 16S ribosomal RNA". It matches the Rfam family "Bacterial small subunit ribosomal RNA", at positions 1 to 129 of the family's 1533-position model. The record is from RNAcentral. Lineage: Bacteria; Bacillati; Bacillota; Clostridia; Lachnospirales; Lachnospiraceae.
UUUUAUCAGAGAGUUUGAUCCUGGCUCAGGAUGAACGCUGGCGGCGUGCUUAACACAUGCAAGUCGAGCGAAGCAGUUAAGUUGAUUUCUUUGGAUUGAUUCUUGACUGACUGAGCGGCGGACGGGUGAGUAACGCGUGGGUGACCUGC